RNAcentral lists this ribosomal RNA (305 nucleotides) under uncultured bacterium. Its description in RNAcentral is "bacterial SSU rRNA". It matches the Rfam family "Bacterial small subunit ribosomal RNA", at positions 337 to 639 of the family's 1533-position model. The record is from RNAcentral.
GCCUACGGGGGGCAGCAGUGAGGAAUAUUGGUCAAUGGACGAGAGUCUGAACCAGCCAAGUAGCGUGAAGGAUGACUGCCCUAUGGGUUGUAAACUUCUUUUGUCGGGGAGCAAAAAGGCCUCGUGAGGCCACAAGUGAGAGUACCCGAAGAAAAAGCAUCGGCUAACUCCGUGCCAGCAGCCGCGGUAAUACGGAGGAUGCGAGCGUUAUCCGGAUUUAUUGGGUUUAAAGGGUGCGUAGGCGGACUGGAAAGUCAGCGGUAAAAUCGAGAGGCUCAACCUCUUUCCGCCGUUGAAACUGUCGG